Long non-coding RNA from Octopus sinensis (East Asian common octopus), 173 nucleotides. RefSeq lists it as uncharacterized. The record is from RefSeq and is a predicted model, not a curated record. The transcript has 3 exons. NCBI's taxonomy places the organism in Eukaryota, Metazoa, Mollusca, Cephalopoda, Octopoda, Octopodidae.
UUAUAUUAUAUUAUGUAUGAAUAUAUAGGUUCAGGCAUGACUGUGCAGUAUGAAGUUUGCUUCCCAACCACAUGGUUCCAGGUUCAGUCCCACUGUGUGGUACCUUGCGCAAGUGUCUUCUACUAAAGUUUCAGGCUGACCAAAGCCUUAUAAGUGGAUUUGGUAGAAGGAAA